RNAcentral lists this long non-coding RNA (27642 nucleotides) under Xyrichtys novacula (pearly razorfish). Lineage: Eukaryota; Metazoa; Chordata; Actinopteri; Labriformes; Labridae. The record is from RNAcentral.
GUUGGAGCUAGGGUUAGGGUUGGGCUUUGAGCUAGGAUUUUUCUGAGUGCAAUGAACCAACUCCCAAGUCUCUAGGACGUUCCUAAAAAAAUUUGAUUUUUUCCCAUAGGAAUGCAUUGGUUAGGGUUAGGGUUAGGGUUGGAGCUAGGGUUAGGGUUAGGGUUAGGGUUGGAGUUAGGGUUAGUGUUGGAGCUAGGGUUAGGGUUGGGCUUGGAGCUAGGGUUUUUCUGAGUGCAAUGAACCAACUCCCGAGUCUCUAGGACGUUCCUAAAAAAAUUAGAUUUUUUCCCAUAGGAAUGCAUGGGUUAGGGUUAGGGUUAGGGUUGGAGCUAGGGUUAGGGUUAGGGUUAGGGUUGGAGUUAGGGUUAGUGUUGGAGCUAGGGUUAGGGUUGGGCUUGGAGCUAGGAUUUUUCUGAGUGCAAUGAACCAACUCCCGAGUCUCUAGGACGUUCCUAAAAAAAUUUGAUUUUUUCCUAUAGGAAUGCAUGGGUUAGGGUUAGGGUUAGGGUUGGAGCUAGGGUUAGGGUUAGGGUUAGGGUUGGAGUUAGGGUUAGUGUUGGGGCUAGGGUUAGGGUUGGGCUUGGAGCUAGGAUUUUUCUGAGUGCAAUGAACCAACUCCCGAGUCUCUAGGACGUUCCUAAAAAAAUUGAUCUUUUCCCAUAGGAAUGCAUGGGUUAGGGUGAGGGUUAGGGUUGGAGCUAGGGUUAGGGUUAGGGUUGGAGUUAGGGUUAGUGUUGGAGCUAGGGUUAGGGUUGGGCUUGGAGCUAGGAUUUUUCUGAGUGCAAUGAACCAACUCCCAAGUCUCUAGGAUGUUCCUAAAAAAAUUUGAUUUUUUCCCAUAGGAAUGCAUGGGUUAGGGUUAGGGUUAGGGUUGGAGCUAGGGUUAGGGUUAGGGUUAGGGUUGGAGUUAGGGUUAGUGUUGGGGCUAGGGUUAGGGUUGGGCUUGGAGCUAGGAUUUUUCUGAGUGCAAUGAACCAACUCCCGAGUCUCUAGGACGUUCCUAAAAAAAUUUGAUUUUUUCCCAUAGGAAUGCAUGGGUUAGGGUUAGGGUUAGGGUUGGAGCUAGGGUUAGGGUUAGGGUUAGGGUUGGAGUUAGGGUUAGUGUUGGGGCUAGGGUUAGGGUUGGGCUUGGAGCUAGGAUUUUUCUGAGUGCAAUGAACCAACUCCCGAGUCUCUAGGACGUUCCUAAAAAAAUUUGAUUUUUUCCCAUAGGAAUGCAUGGGUUAGGGUUAGGGUAAGGGUUGGAGCUAGGGUUAGGGUUAGGGUUAGGGUUGGAGUUAGGGUUAGUGUUGGAGCUAGGGUUAGGGUUGGGCUUGGAGCUAGGAUUUUUCUGAGUGCAAUGAACCAACUCCCAAGUCUCUAGGACGUUCCUAAAAAAAUUUGAUUUUUUCCCAUAGGAAUGCAUGGGUUAGGGUUAGGGAUAGGGUUGGAGCUAGGGUUAGGGUUAGGGUUAGGGUUGGAGUUAGGGUUAGUGUUGGAGCUAGGGUUAGGGUUGGGCUUGGAGCUAGGAUUUUUCUGAGUGCAAUGAACCAACUCCCGAGUCUCUAGGACGUUCCUAAAAAAAUUUGAUUUUUUCCCAUAGGAAUGCAUGGGUUAGGGUUAGGGUUAGGGUUGGAGCUAGGGUUAGGGUUAGGGUUAGGGUUGGAGUUAGGGUUAGUGUUGGGGCUAGGGUUAGGGUUGGGCUUGGAGCUAGGAUUUUUCUGAGUGCAAUGAACCAACUCCCGAGUCUCUAGGACGUUCCUAAAAAAAUUUGAUUUUUUCCCAUAGGAAUGCAUGGGUUAGGGUUAGGGUUAGGGUUGGAGCGAGGGUUAGGGUUAGGGUUAGGGUUAGGGUUGGAGUUAGGGUUAGUGUUGGAGCUAGGGUUAGGGUUGGGCUUGGAGCUAGGAUUUUUCUGAGUGCAAUGAACCAACUCCCCAGUCUCUAGGACGUUCCUAAAAAAAUUUGAUUUUUUCCCAUAGGAAUGCAUGGGUUAGGGUUAGGGUUAGGGUUGGAGCGAGGGUUAGGGUUAGGGUUAGGGUUAGGGUUGGAGUUAGGGUUAGUGUUGGAGCUAGGGUUAGGGUUGGGCUUGGAGCUAGGAUUUUUCUGAGUGCAAUGAACCAACUCCCGAGUCUCUAGGACAUUCCUAAAAAAAUUUGAUUUUUUCCCAUAGGAAUGCAUGGGUUAGGGUUAGGGUUAGGGUUGGAGCUAGGGUUAGGGUUAGGGUUAGGGUUGGAGUUAGGGUUAGUGUUGGAGCUAGGGUUAGGGUUGGGCUUGGAGCUAGGAUUUUUCUGAGUGCAAUGAACCAACUCCCAAGUCUCUAGGAUGUUCCUAAAAAAAUUUGAUUUUUUCCCAUAGGAAUGCAUGGGUUAGGGUUAGGGUUAGGGUUGGAGCUAGGGUUAGGGUUAGGGUUAGGGUUGGAGUUAGGGUUAGUGUUGGAGCUAGGGUUAGGGUUGGGCUUGGAGCUAGGAUUUUUCUGAGUGCAAUGAACCAACUCCCGAGUCUCUAGGACGUUCCUAAAAAAAUUUGAUUUUUUCCCAUAGGAAUGCAUGGGUUAGGGUGAGGGUUAGGGUUGGAGCUAGGGUUAGGGUUAGGGUUAGGGUUGGAGUUAGGGUUAGUGUUGGAGCUAGGGUUAGGGUUGGGCUUGGAGCUAGGAUUUUUCUGAGUGCAAUGAACCAACUCCCGAGUCUCUAGGACGUUCCUAAAAAAAUUUGAUUUUUUCCCAUAGGAAUGCAUGGGUUAGGGUUAGGGUUAGGGUUGGAGCUAGGGUUAGGGUUAGGGUUAGGGUUAGGGUUGGAGUUAGGGUUAGUGUUGGAGCUAGGGUUAGGGUUGGGCUUGGAGCUAGGAUUUUUCUGAGUGCAAUGAACCAACUCCCGAGUCUCUAGGACGUUCCUAAAAAAAUUAGAUUUUUUCCCAUAGGAAUGCAUGGGUUAGGGUUAGGGUUAGGGUUGGAGCUAGGGUUAGGGUUAGGGUUAGGGUUAGGGUUGGAGUUAGGGUUAGUGUUGGAGCUAGGGUUAGGGUUGGGCUUGGAGCUAGGAUUUUUCUGAGUGCAAUGAACCAACUCCCGAGUCUCUAGGACGUUCCUAAAAAAAUUUGAUUUUUUCCCAUAGGAAUGCAUGGGUUAGGGUUAGGGGAAGGGUUGGAGCUAGGGUUAGGGUUAGGGUUAGGGUUGGAGUUAGGAUUAGUGUUUGAGCUAGGGUUAGGGUUGGGCUUGGAGCUAGGAUUUUUCUGAGUGCAAUGAACCAACUCCCAAGUCUCUAGGACGUUCCUAAAAAAAUUUGAUUUUUUCCCAUAGGAAUGCAUGGGUUAGGGUUAGGGUUAGGGUUGGAGCUAGGGUUAGGGUUAGGGUUAGGGUUGGAGUUAGGGUUAGUGUUGGGGCUAGGGUUAGGGUUGGGCUUGGAGCUAGGAUUUUUCUGAGUGCAAUGACCAACUCCCGAGUCUCUAGGACGUUCCUAAAAAAAUUUGAUUUUUUCCCAUAGGAAUGCAUGGGUUACGGUUAGGGUUAGGGUUGGAGAGAGGGUUAGGGUUAGGGUUAGGGUUAGGGUUGGAGUUAGGAUUAGUGUUUGAGCUAGGGUUAGGGUUGGGCUUGGAGCUAGGAUUUUUCUGAGUGCAAUGACCAACUCCCCAGUCUCUAGGACAUUCCUAAAAAAAUUUGAUUUUUUCCCAUAGGAAUGCAUGGGUUAGGGUUAGGGUUAGGGUUGGAGCUAGGGUUAGGGUUAGGGUUAGGGUUGGAGUUAGGGUUAGUGUUGGAGCUAGGGUUAGGGUUGGGCUUGGAGCUAGGAUUUUUCUGAGUGCAAUGAACCAACUCCCGAGUCUCUAGGACGUUCCUAAAAAAAUUUGAUUUUUUCCCAUAGGAAUGCAUGGGUUAGGGUUAGGGUUAGGGUUGGAGCUAGGGUUAGGGUUAGGGUUAGGGUUAGGGUUGGAGCUAGGGUUAGGGUUAGGGUUAGGGUUAGGGUUGGAGUUAGGGUUAGUGUUGGAGCUAGGGUUAGGGUUCGGCUUGGAGCUAGGAUUUUUCUGAGUGCAAUGAACCAACUCCCGAGUCUCUAGGACGUUCCUAAAAAAAUUAGAUUUUUUCCCAUAGGAAUGCAUGGGUUAGGGUUAGGGUUAGGGUUGGAGCUAGGGUUAGGGUUAGGGUUAGGGUUAGGGUUGGAGUUAGGGUUAGUGUUGGAGCUAGGGUUAGGGUUGGGCUUGGAGCUAGGAUUUUUCUGAGUGCAAUGAACCAACUCCCGAGUCUCUAGGACGUUCCUAAAAAAAUUUGAUUUUUUCCCAUAGGAAUGCAUGGGUUAGGGUUAGGGUAAGGGUUGGAGCUAGGGUUAGGGUUAGGGUUGGAGUUAGGGUUAGUGUUGGAGCUAGGGUUAGGGUUGGGCUUGGAGCUAAGAUUUUUCUGAGUGCAAUGAACCAACUCCCAAGUCUCUAGGACGUUCCUAAAAAAAUUUGAUUUUUUCCCAUAGGAAUGCAUGGGUUAGGGUUAGGGUUAGGGUUGGAGCUAGGGUUAGGGUUAGGGUUUGGGUUGGAGUUAGGGUUAGUGUUGGAGCUAGGGUUAGGGUUGGGCUUGGAGCUAGGAUUUUUCUGAGUGCAAUGAACCAACUCUCGAGUCUCUAGGACGUUCCUAAAAAAAUUUGAUUUUUUCCCAUAGGAAUGCAUGGGUUAGGGUUAGGGUUAGGGUUGGAGCUAGGGUUAGGGUUAGGGUUAGGGUUUGGAGUUAGGGUUAGUGUUGGAGCUAGGGUUAGGGUUGGGCUUGGAGCUAGGAUUUUUCUGAGUGCAAUGAACCAACUCCCAAGUCUCUAGGACGUUCCUAAAAAAAUUUGAUUUUUUCCCAUAGGAAUGCAUGGGUUAGGGUUAGGGUUAGGGUUGGAGCGAGGGUUAGGGUUAGGGUUAGGGUUAGGGUUGGAGUUAGGGUUAGUGUUGGAGCUAGGGUUAGGGUUGGGCUUGGAGCUAGGAUUUUUCUGAGUGCAAUGAACCAACUCCCGAGUCUCUAGGACAUUCCUAAAAAAAUUUGAUUUUUUCCCAUAGGAAUGCAUGGGUUAGGGUUAGGGUUAGGGUUGGAGCUAGGGUUAGGGUUAGGGUUGGAGUUAGGGUUAGUGUUGGAGCUAGGGAUAGGGUUGGGCUUGGAGCUAGGAUUUUUCUGAGUGCAAUGAACCAACUCCCGAGUCUCUAGGACGUUCCUAAAAAAAUUUGAUUUUUUCCCAUAGGAAUGCAUGGGUUAGGGUGAGGGUUAGGGUUGGAGCUAGGGUUAGGGUUAGGGUUAGGGUUGGAGUUAGGGUUAGUGUUGGAGCUAGGGUUAGGGUUGGGCUUGGAGCUAGGAUUUUUCUGAGUGCAAUGAACCAACUCCCGAGUCUCUAGGACGUUCCUAAAAAAAAUUGAUUUUUUCCCAUAGGAAUGCAUGGGUUAGGGUUAGGGUUAGGGUUGGAGCUAGGGUUAGGGUUAGGGUUAGGGUUGGAGUUAGGGUUAGUGUUGGGGCUAGGGUUAGGGUUGGGCUUGGAGCUAGGAUUUUUCUGAGUGCAAUGAACCAACUCCCGAGUCUCUAGGACGUUCCUAAAAAAAUUUGAUUUUUUCCCAUAGGAAUGCAUGGGUUAGGGUUAGGGUAAGGGUUGGAGCUAGGGUUAGGGUUAGGGUUAGGGUUGGAGUUAGGGUUAGUGUUGGAGCUAGGGUUAGGGUUGGGCUUGGAGCUAGGAUUUUUCUGAGUGCAAUGAACCAACUCCCAAGUCUCUAGGACGUUCCUAAAAAAAUUUGAUUUUUUCCCAUAGGAAUGCAUGGGUUAGGGUUAGGGUUAGGGUUGGAGCUAGGGUUAGGGUUAGGGUUAGGGUUGGAGUUAGGGUUAGUGUUGGAGCUAGGGUUAGGGUUGGGCUUGGAGCUAGGAUUUUUCUGAGUGCAAUGAACCAACUCCCGAGUAUCUAGGACGUUCCUAAAAAAAUUUGAUUUUUUCCCAUAGGAAUGCAUGGGUUAGGGUUAGGGUUAGGGUUGGAGCUAGGGUUAGGGUUAGGGUUAGGGUUGGAGUUAGGGUUAGUGUUGGGGCUAGGGUUAGGGUUGGGCUUGGAGCUAGGAUUUUUCUGAGUGCAAUGACCAACUCCCAAGUCUCUAGGACGUUCCUAAAAAAUUUGAUUUUUUCCCAUAGGAAUGCAUGGGUUAGGGUUAGGGUUAGGGUUGGAGCUAGGGUUGGAGUUAGGGUUAGUGUUGGAGCUAGGGUUAGGGUUGGGCUUGGAGCUAGGAUUUUUCUGAGUGCAAUGAACCAACUCCCGAGUCUCUAGGACGUUCCUAAAAAAAUUUGAUUUUUUCCCAUAGGAAUGCAUGGGUUAGGGUUAGGGUUAGGGUUGGAGCUAGGGUUAGGGUUAGGGUUAGGGUUGGAGUUAGGGUUAGUGUUGGGGCUAGGGUUAGGGUUGGGCUUGGAGCUAGGAUUUUUCUGAGUGCAAUGAACCAACUCCCGAGUCUCUAGGACGUUCCUAAAAAAAUUUGAUUUUUUCCCAUAGGAAUGCAUGGGUUAGGGUUAGGGUUAGGGUUGGAGUUAGGGUUAGUGUUGGAGCUAGGGUUAGGGUUCGGCUUGGAGCUAGGAUUUUUCUGAGUGCAAUGAACCAACUCCCGAGUCUCUAGGACGUUCCUAAAAAAAUUAGAUUUUUUCCCAUAGGAAUGCAUGGGUUAGGGUUAGGGUUAGGGUUGGAGCUAGGGUUAGGGUUAGGGUUAGGGUUAGGGUUGGAGUUAGGGUUAGUGUUGGAGCUAGGGUUAGGGUUGGGCUUGGAGCUAGGAUUUUUCUGAGUGCAAUGAACCAACUCCCGAGUCUCUAGGACGUUCCUAAAAAAAUUUGAUUUUUUCCCAUAGGAAUGCAUGGGUUAGGGUUAGGGUAAGGGUUGGAGCUAGGGUUAGGGUUAGGGUUGGAGUUAGGGUUAGUGUUGGAGCUAGGGUUAGGGUUGGGCUUGGAGCUAGGAUUUUUCUGAGUGCAAUGAACCAACUCCCAAGUCUCUAGGACGUUCCUAAAAAAAUUUGAUUUUUUCCCAUAGGAAUGCAUGGGUUAGGGUUAGGGUUAGGGUUGGAGCUAGGGUUAGGGUUAGGGUUUGGGUUGGAGUUAGGGUUAGUGUUGGAGCUAGGGUUAGGGUUGGGCUUGGAGCUAGGAUUUUUCUGAGUGCAAUGAACCAACUCUCGAGUCUCUAGGACGUUCCUAAAAAAAUUUGAUUUUUUCCCAUAGGAAUGCAUGGGUUAGGGUUAGGGUUAGGGUUGGAGCUAGGGUUAGGGUUAGGGUUAGGUUUGGAGUUAGGGUUAGUGUUGGAGCUAGGGUUAGGGUUGGGCUUGGAGCUAGGAUUUUUCUGAGUGCAAUGAACCAACUCCCAAGUCUCUAGGACGUUCCUAAAAAAAUUUGAUUUUUUCCCAUAGGAAUGCAUGGGUUAGGGUUAGGGUUAGGGUUGGAGCGAGGGUUAGGGUUAGGGUUAGGGUUAGGGUUGGAGUUAGGGUUAGUGUUGGAGCUAGGGUUAGGGUUGGGCUUGGAGCUAGGAUUUUUCUGAGUGCAAUGACCAACUCCCGAGUCUCUAGGACAUUCCUAAAAAAAUUUGAUUUUUUCCCAUAGGAAUGCAUGGGUUAGGGUUAGGGUUAGGGUUGGAGCUAGGGUUAGGGUUAGGGUUGGAGUUAGGGUUAGUGUUGGAGCUAGGGAUAGGGUUGGGCUUGGAGCUAGGAUUUUUCUGAGUGCAAUGAACCAACUCCCGAGUCUCUAGGACGUUCCUAAAAAAAUUUGAUUUUUUCCCAUAGGAAUGCAUGGGUUAGGGUUGAGGGUUAGGGUUGGAGCUAGGGUUAGGGUUAGGGUUAGGGUUGGAGUUAGGGUUAGUGUUGGAGCUAGGGUUAGGGUUGGGCUUGGAGCUAGGAUUUUUCUGAGUGCAAUGAACCAACUCCCGAGUCUCUAGGACGUUCCUAAAAAAAUUGAUUUUUUCCCAUAGGAAUGCAUGGGUUAGGGUUAGGGUUAGGGUUGGAGCUAGGGUUAGGGUUAGGGUUAGGGUUGGAGUUAGGGUUAGUGUUGGGGCUAGGGUUAGGGUUGGGCUUGGAGCUAGGAUUUUUCUGAGUGCAAUGAACCAACUCCCGAGUCUCUAGGACGUUCCUAAAAAAAUUUGAUUUUUUCCCAUAGGAAUGCAUGGGUUAGGGUUAGGGUUAAGGGUUGGAGCUAGGGUUAGGGUUAGGGUUAGGGUUGGAGUUAGGGUUAGUGUUGGAGCUAGGGUUAGGGUUGGGCUUGGAGCUAGGAUUUUUCUGAGUGCAAUGAAUCCAACUCCCAAGUCUCUAGGACGUUCCUAAAAAAAUUUGAUUUUUUCCCAUAGGAAUGCAUGGGUUAGGGUUAGGGUUAGGGUUGGAGCUAGGGUUAGGGUUAGGGUUAGGGUUGGAGUUAGGGUUAGUGUUGGAGCUAGGGUUAGGGUUGGGCUUGGAGCUAGGAUUUUUCUGAGUGCAAUGAACCAACUCCCGAGUAUCUAGGACGUUCCUAAAAAAAUUUGAUUUUUUCCCAUAGGAAUGCAUGGGUUAGGGUUAGGGUUAGGGUUGGAGCUAGGGUUAGGGUUAGGGUUAGGGUUGGAGUUAGGGUUAGUGUUGGGGCUAGGGUUAGGGUUGGGCUUGGAGCUAGGAUUUUUCUGAGUGCAAUGACCAACUCCCAAGUCUCUAGGACGUUCCUAAAAAAAUUUGAUUUUUUCCCAUAGGAAUGCAUGGGUUAGGGUUAGGGUUAGGGUUGGAGCUAGGGUUGGAGUUAGGGUUAGUGUUGGAGCUAGGGUUAGGGUUGGGCUUGGAGCUAGGAUUUUUCUGAGUGCAAUGAACCAACUCCCGAGUCUCUAGGACGUUCCUAAAAAAAUUUGAUUUUUUCCCAUAGGAAUGCAUGGGUUAGGGUUAGGGUUAGGGUUGGAGCUAGGGUUAGGGUUAGGGUUAGGGUUGGAGUUAGGGUUAGUGUUGGGGCUAGGGUUAGGGUUGGGCUUGGAGCUAGGAUUUUUCUGAGUGCAAUGACCAACUCCCGAGUCUCUAGGACGUUCCUAAAAAAAUUUGAUUUUUUCCCAUAGGAAUGCAUGGGUUAGGGUUAGGGUUAGGGUUGGAGCUAGGGUUAGGGUUAGGGUUAGGGUUGGAGUUAGGGUUAGUGUUGGAGCUAGGGUUAGGGUUGGGCUUGGAGCUAGGAUUUUUCUGAGUGCAAUGAACCAACUCCCAAGUCUCUAGGACGUUCCUAAAAAAAUUUGAUUUUUUCCCAUAGGAAUGCAUGGGUUAGGGUUAGGGUUAGGGUUGGAGCUAGGGUUAGGGUUAGGGUUAGGGUUGGAGUUAGGGUUAGUGUUGGAGCUAGGGUUAGGGUUGGGCUUGGAGCUAGGAUUUUUCUGAGUGCAAUGAACCAACUCCCGAGUCUCUAGGACGUUCCUAAAAAAAUUUGAAUUUUUACCAUAAGAAUGCAUGGGUUAGGGUUAGGGUUAGGGUUGGAGCUAGGGUUAGGGUUAGGGUUAGGGUUGGAGUUAGGGUUAGUGUUGGAGCUAGGGUUAGGGUUGGGCUUGGAGCUAGGAUUUUUCUGAGUGCAAUGAACCAACUCCCAAGUCUCUAGGACGUUCCUAAAAAAAUUUGAUUUUUUCCCAUAGGAAUGCAUGGGUUAGGGUUAGGGUUAGGGUUGGAGCUAGGGUUAGGGUUAGGGUUAGGGUUGGAGUUAGGGUUAGUGUUGGAGCUAGGGUUAGGGUUGGGCCUUGAGCUAGGAUUUUUCUGAGUGCAAUGAACCAACUCCCGAGUCUCUAGGACGUUCCUAAAAAAAUUUGAUUUUUUCCCAUAGGAAUGCAUGGGUUAGGGUUAGGGUUAGGGUUGGAGCUAGGGUUAGGGUUAGGGUUAGGGUUAGGGUUGGAGUUAGGGUUAGUGUUGGAGCUAGGGUUAGGGUUGGGCUUGGAGCUAGGAUUUUUCUGAGUGCAAUGAACCAACUCCCGAGUCUCUAGGACGUUCCUAAAAAAAUUUGAUUUUUUCCCAUAGGAAUGCAUGGGUUAGGGUUAGGGUUAGGGUUGGAGCUAGGGUAAGGGGUUAGGGUUAGGGUUAGGGUUGGAGUUAGGGUUAGUGUUGGAGCUAGGGUUAGGGUUGGGCUUGGAGCUAGGAUUUUUCUGAGUGCAAUGAACCAACUCCCGAGUCUCUAGGACGUUCCUAAAAAAAUUUGAUUUUUUCCCAUAGGAAUGCAUGGGUUAGGGUUAGGGUAAGGGUUGGAGCUAGGGUUAGGGUUAGGGUUGGAGUUAGGGUUAGUGUUGGAGCUAGGGUUAGGGUUGGGCUUGGAGCUAGGAUUUUUCUGAGUGCAAUGAACCAACUCCCGAGUCUCUAGGACGUUCCUAAAAAAAUUUGAUUUUUUCCCAUAGGAAUGCAUGGGUUAGGGUGAGGGUUAGGGUUGGAGCUAGGGUUAGGGUUAGGGUUAGGGUUGGAGUUAGGGUUAGUGUUGGAGCUAGGGUUAGGGUUGGGCUUGGAGCUAGGAUUUUUCUGAGUGCAAUGAACCAACUCCCGAGUCUCUAGGACGUUCCUAAAAAAAUUUGAUUUUUUCCCAUAGGAAUGCAUGGGUUAGGGUUAGGGUUAGGGUUGGAGCUAGGGUUAGGGUUAGGGUUAGGGUUGGAGUUAGGGUUAGUGUUGGGGCUAGGGUUAGGGUUGGGCUUGGAGCUAGGAUUUUUCUGAGUGCAAUGAACCAACUCCCGAGUCUCUAGGACGUUCCUAAAAAAAUUUGAUUUUUUCCCAUAGGAAUGCAUGGGUUAGGGUUAGGGUAAGGGUUGGAGCUAGGGUUAGGGUUAGGGUUAGGGUUGGAGUUAGGGUUAGUGUUGGAGCUAGGGUUAGGGUUGGGCUUGGAGCUAGGAUUUUUCUGAGUGCAAUGAACCAACUCCCAAGUCUCUAGGACGUUCCUAAAAAAAUUUGAUUUUUUCCCAUAGGAAUGCAUGGGUUAGGGUUAGGGUUAGGGUUGGAGCUAGGGUUAGGGUUAGGGUUAGGGUUGGAGUUAGGGUUAGUGUUGGAGCUAGGGUUAGGGUUGGGCUUGGAGCUAGGAUUUUUCUGAGUGCAAUGAACCAACUCCCGAGUCUCUAGGACGUUCCUAAAAAAAUUGGAUUUUUUCCCAUAGGAAUGCAUGGGUUAGGGUUAGGGUUAGGGUUGGAGCUAGGGUUAGGGUUAGGGUUAGGGUUGGAGUUAGGGUUAGUGUUGGGGCUAGGGUUAGGGUUGGGCUUGGAGCUAGGAUUUUUCUGAGUGCAAUGACCAACUCCCGAGUCUCUAGGACGUUCCUAAAAAAAUUUGAUUUUUUCCCAUAGGAAUGCAUGGGUUAGGGUUAGGGUUAGGGUUGGAGCGAGGGUUAGGGUUAGGGUUAGGGUUAGGGUUGGAGUUAGGGUUAGUGUUGGAGCUAGGGUUAGGGUUGGGCUUGGAGCUAGAAUUUUUCUGAGUGCAAUGACCAACUCCCCAGUCUCUAGGACAUUCCUAAAAAAAUUUGAUUUUUUCCCAUAGGAAUGCAUGGGUUAGGGUUAGGGUUAGGGUUGGAGCUAGGGUUAGGGUUAGGGUUAGGGUUGGAGUUAGGGUUAGUGUUGGAGCUAGGGUUAGGGUUGGGCUUGGAGCUAGGAUUUUUCUGAGUGCAAUGAACCAACUCCCAAGUCUCUAGGACGUUCCUAAAAAAAUUUGAUUUUUUCCCAUAGGAAUGCAUGGGUUAGGGUUAGGGUUAGGGUUGGAGCUAGGGUUAGGGUUAGCGUUAGGGUUGGAGUUAGGGUUAGUGUUGGAGCUAGGGUUAGGGUUGGGCUUGGAGCUAGGAUUUUUCUGAGUGCAAUGAACCAACUCCCGAGUCUCUAGGACGUUCCUAAAAUAAUUUGAUUUUUUCCCAUAGGAAUGCAUGGGUUAGGGUUAGGGUUAGGGUUGGAGCUAGGGUUAGGGUUAGGGUUAGAGUUAGGGUUGGAGUUAGGGUUAGUGUUGGGGCUAGGGUUAGGGUUGGGCUUGGAGCUAGGAUUUUUCUGAGUGCAAUGACCAACUCCCGAGUCUCUAGGACGUUCCUAAAAAAAUUGGAUUUUUUCCCAUAGGAAUGCAUGGGUUAGGGUUAGGGUUAGGGUUGGAGCGAGGGUUAGGGUUAGGGUUAGGGUUAGGGUUGGAGUUAGGGUUAGUGUUGGAGCUAGGGUUAGGGUUGGGCUUGGAGCUAGGAUUUUUCUGAGUGCAAUGACCAACUCCCCAGUCUCUAGGACAUUCCUAAAAAAAUUUGAUUUUUUCCCAUAGGAAUGCAUGGGUUAGGGUUAGGGUUAGGGUUGGAGCUAGGGUUAGGGUUAGGGUUAGGGUUGGAGUUAGGGUUAGUGUUGGAGCUAGGGUUAGGGUUGGGCUUGGAGCUAGGAUUUUUCUGAGUGCAAUGAACCAACUCCCAAGUCUCUAGGACGUUCCUAAAAAAAUUUGAUUUUUUCCCAUAGGAAUGCAUGGGUUAGGGUUAGGGUUAGGGUUGGAGCUAGGGUUAGGGUUAGGGUUAGGGUUGGAGUUAGGGUUAGUGUUGGAGCUAGGGUUAGGGUUAGGCUUGGAGCUAGGAUUUUUCUGAGUGCAAUGAACCAACUCCCGAGUCUCUAGGACGUUCCUAAAAAAAUUUGAUUUUUUCCCAUAGGAAUGCAUGGGUUAGGGUGAGGGUUAGGGUUGGAGCUAGGGUUAGGGUUAGGGUUAGGGUUGGAGUUAGGGUUAGUGUUGGAGCUAGGGUUAGGGUUGGGCUUGGAGCUAGGAUUUUUCUGAGUGCAAUGAACCAACUCCCGAGUCUCUAGGACGUUCCUAAAAAAAUUUGAUUUUUUCCCAUAGGAAUGCAUGGGUUAGGGUUAGGGUUAGGGUUGGAGCUAGGGUUAGGGUUAGGGUUAGGGUUGGAGUUAGGGUUAGUGUUGGGGCUAGGGUUAGGGUUGGGCUUGGAGCUAGGAUUUUUCUGAGUGCAAUGAACCAACUCCCGAGUCUCUAGGACGUUCCUAAAAAAAUUUGAUUUUUUCCCAUAGGAAUGCAUGGGUUAGGGUUAGGGUAAGGGUUGGAGCUAGGGUUAGGGUUAGGGUUAGGGUUGGAGUUAGGGUUAGUGUUGGAGCUAGGGUUAGGGUUGGGCUUGGAGCUAGGAUUUUUCUGAGUGCAAUGAACCAACUCCCAAGUCUCUAGGACGUUCCUAAAAAAAUUUGAUUUUUUCCCAUAGGAAUGCAUGGGUUAGGGUUAGGGAUAGGGUUGGAGCUAGGGUUAGGGUUAGGGUUAGGGUUGGAGUUAGGGUUAGUGUUGGAGCUAGGGUUAGGGUUGGGCUUGGAGCUAGGAUUUUUCUGAGUGCAAUGAACCAACUCCCCAGUCUCUAGGACGUUCCUAAAAAAAUUUGAUUUUUUCCCAUAGGAAUGCAUGGGUUAGGGUUAGGGUUAGGGUUGGAGCUAGGGUUAGGGUUAGGGUUAGGGUUGGAGUUAGGGUUAGUGUUGGGGCUAGGGUUAGGGUUGGGCUUGGAGCUAGGAUUUUUCUGAGUGCAAUGACCAACUCCCGAGUCUCUAGGACGUUCCUAAAAAAAUUUGAUUUUUUCCCAUAGGAAUGCAUGGGUUAGGGUUAGGGUUAGGGUUGGAGCGAGGGUUAGGGUUAGGGUUAGGGUUAGGGUUGGAGUUAGGGUUAGUGUUGGAGCUAGGGUUAGGGUUGGGCUUGGAGCUAGGAUUUUUCUGAGUGCAAUGACCAACUCCCCAGUCUCUAGGACGUUCCUAAAAAAAUUUGAUUUUUUCCCAUAGGAAUGCAUGGGUUAGGGUUAGGGUUAGGGUUGGAGCGAGGGUUAGGGUUAGGGUUAGGGUUAGGGUUGGAGUUAGGGUUAGUGUUGGAGCUAGGGUUAGGGUUGGGCUUGGAGCUAGGAUUUUUCUGAGUGCAAUGAACCAACUCCCGAGUCUCUAGGACAUUCCUAAAAAAAUUUGAUUUUUUCCCAUAGGAAUGCAUGGGUUAGGGUUAGGGUUAGGGUUGGAUCUAGGGUUAGGGUUAGGGUUAGGGUUGGAGUUAGGGUUAGUGUUGGAGCUAGGGUUAGGGUUGGGCUUGGAGCUAGGAUUUUUCUGAGUGCAAUGAACCAACUCCCAAGUCUCUAGGACGUUCCUAAAAAAAUUUGAUUUUUUCCCAUAGGAAUGCAUGGGUUAGGGUUAGGGUUAGGGUUGGAGCUAGGGUUAGGGUUAGGGUUAGGGUUGGAGUUAGGGUUAGUGUUGGAGCUAGGGUUAGGGUUGGGCUUGGAGCUAGGAUUUUUCUGAGUGCAAUGAACCAACUCCCGAGUCUCUAGGACGUUCCUAAAAAAAUUUGAUUUUUUCCCAUAGGAAUGCAUGGGUUAGGGUGAGGGUUAGGGUUGGAGCUAGGGUUAGGGUUAGGGUUAGGGUUGGAGUUUGGGUUAGUGUUGGAGCUAGGGUUAGGGUUGGGCUUGGAGCUAGGAUUUUUCUGAGUGCAAUGAACCAACUCCCGAGUCUCUAGGACGUUCCUAAAAAAAUUUGAUUUUUUCCCAUAGGAAUGCAUGGGUUAGGGUUAGGGUUCGGGUUGGAGCUAGGGUUAGGGUUAGGGUUAGGGUUGGAGUUAGGGUUAGUGUUGGAGCUAGGGUUAGGGUUGGGCUUGGAGCUAGGAUUUUUCUGAGUGCAAUGAACCAACUCCCGAGUCUCUAGGACGUUCCUAAAAAAAUUUGAUUUUUUCCCAUAGGAAUGCAUGGGUUAGGGUGAGGGUUAGGGUUGGAGCUAGGGUUAGGGUUAGGGUUAGGGUUGGAGUUAGGGUUAGUGUUGGAGCUAGGGUUAGGGUUGGGCUUGGAGCUAGGAUUUUUCUGAGUGCAAUGAACCAACUCCCAAGUCUCUAGGACGUUCCUAAAAAAAAUUGAUUUUUUCCCAUAGGAAUGCAUGGGUUAGGGUUAGGGAUAGGGUUGGAGCUAGGGUUAGGGUUAGGGUUAGGGUUGGAGUUAGGGUUAGUGUUGGAGCUAGGGUUAGGGUUGGGCUUGGAGCUAGGAUUUUUCUGAGUGCAAUGAACCAACUCCCGAGUCUCUAGGACGUUCCUAAAAAAAUUUGAUUUUUUCCCAUAGGAAUGCAUGGGUUAGGGUUAGGGUUAGGGUUGGAGCUAGGGUUAGGGUUAGGGUUAGGGAUGGAGUUAGGGUUAGUGUUGGGGCUAGGGUUAGGGUUGGGCUUGGAGCUAGGAUUUUUCUGAGUGCAAUGACCAACUCCCGAGUCUCUAGGACGUUCCUAAAAAAAUUUGAUUUUUUCCCAUAGGAAUGCAUGGGUUAGGGUUAGGGUUAGGGUUGGAGCGAGGGUUAGGGUUAGGGUUAGGGUUAGGGUUAGGGUUAGGGUUGGAGUUAGGGUUAGUGUUGGAGCUAGGGUUAGGGUUGGGCUUGGAGCUAGGAUUUUUCUGAGUGCAAUGACCAACUCCCCAGUCUCUAGGACAUUCCUAAAAAAAUUUGAUUUUUUCCCAUAGGAAUGCAUGGGUUAGGGUUAGGGUUAGGGUUGGAGCUAGGGUUAGGGUUAGGGUUAGGGUUGGAGUUAGGGUUAGUGUUGGAGCUAGGGUUAGGGUUGGGCUUGGAGCUAGGAUUUUUCUGAGUGCAAUGAACCAACUCCCGAGUCUCUAGGACGUUCCUAAAAAAAUUUGAUUUUUUCCCAUAGGAAUGCAUGGGUUAGGGUUAGGGUUAGGGUUGGAGCUAGGGUUAGGGUUAGGGUUAGGGUUAGGGUUGGAGUUAGGGUUAGUGUUGGAGCUAGGGUUAGGGUUCGGCUUGGAGCUAGGAUUUUUCUGAGUGCAAUGAACCAACUCCCGAGUCUCUAGGACGUUCCUAAAAAAAUUAGAUUUUUUCCCAUAGGAAUGCAUGGGUUAGGGUUAGGGUUAGGGUUGGAGCUAGGGUUAGGGUUAGGGUUAGGGUUAGGGUUGGAGUUAGGGUUAGUGUUGGAGCUAGGGUUAGGGUUGGGCUUGGAGCUAGGAUUUUUCUGAGUGCAAUGAACCAACUCCCGAGUCUCUAGGACGUUCCUAAAAAAAUUUGAUUUUUUCCCAUAGGAAUGCAUGGGUUAGGGUUAGGGGAAGGGUUGGAGCUAGGGUUAGGGUUAGGGUUAGGGUUGGAGUUAGGGUUAGUGUUGGAGCUAGGGUUAGGGUUGGGCUUGGAGCUAGGAUUUUUCUGAGUGCAAUGAACCAACUCCCAAGUCUCUAGGACGUUCCUAAAAAAAUUUGAUUUUUUCCCAUAGGAAUGCAUGGGUUAGGGUUAGGGUUAGGGUUGGAGCUAGGGUUAGGGUUAGGGUUUGGGUUGGAGUUAGGGUUAGUGUUGGAGCUAGGGUUAGGGUUGGGCUUGGAGCUAGGAUUUUUCUGAGUGCAAUGAACCAACUCUCGAGUCUCUAGGACGUUCCUAAAAAAAUUUGAUUUUUUCCCAUAGGAAUGCAUGGGUUAGGGUUAGGGUUAGGGUUGGAGCUAGGGUUAGGGUUAGGGUUAGGUUUGGAGUUAGGGUUAGUGUUGGAGCUAGGGUUAGGGUUGGGCUUGGAGCUAGGAUUUUUCUGAGUGCAAUGAACCAACUCCCAAGUCUCUAGGACGUUCCUAAAAAAAUUUGAUUUUUUCCCAUAGGAAUGCAUGGGUUAGGGUUAGGGUUAGGGUUGGAGCGAGGGUUAGGGUUAGGGUUAGGGUUAGGGUUGGAGUUAGGGUUAGUGUUGGAGCUAGGGUUAGGGUUGGGCUUGGAGCUAGGAUUUUUCUGAGUGCAAUGACCAACUCCCGAGUCUCUAGGACAUUCCUAAAAAAAUUUGAUUUUUUCCCAUAGGAAUGCAUGGGUUAGGGUUAGGGUUAGGGUUGGAGCUAGGGUUAGGGUUAGGGUUAGGGUUGGAGUUAGGGUUAGUGUUGGAGCUAGGGAUAGGGUUGGGCUUGGAGCUAGGAUUUUUCUGAGUGCAAUGAACCAACUCCCAAGUCUCUAGGACGUUCCUAAAAAAAUUUGAUUUUUUCCCAUAGGAAUGCAUGGGUUAGGGUUAGGGUUAGGGUUGGAGGUAGGGUUAGGGUUAGGGUUAGGGUUGGAGUUAGGGUUAGUGUUGGGGCUAGGGUUAGGGUUGGGCUUGGAGCUAGGAUUUUUCUGAGUGCAAUGAACCAACUCCCGAGUCUCUAGGACGUUCCUAAAAAAAUUUGAUUUUUUCCCAUAGGAAUGCAUGGGUUAGGGUGAGGGUUAGGGUUGGAGCUAGGGUUAGGGUUAGGGUUAGGGUUGGAGUUAGGGUUAGUGUUGGAGCUAGGGUUAGGGUUGGGCUUGGAGCUAGGAUUUUUCUGAGUGCAAUGAACCAACUCCCGAGUCUCUAGGACGUUCCUAAAAAAAUUUGAUUUUUUCCCAUAGGAAUGCAUGGGUUAGGGUUAGGGUUAGGGUUGGAGUUAGGGUUAGGGUUAGGGUUAGGGUUGGAGUUAGGGUUAGUGUUGGGGCUAGGGUUAGGGUUGGGCUUGGAGCUAGGAUUUUUCUGAGUGCAAUGAACCAACUCCCGAGUCUCUAGGACGUUCCUAAAAAAAUUUGAUUUUUUCCCAUAGGAAUGCAUGGGUUAGGGUUAGGGUAAGGGUUGGAGCUAGGGUUAGGGUUAGGGUUAGGGUUGGAGUUAGGGUUAGUGUUGGAGCUAGGGUUAGGGUUGGGCCUGGAGCUAGGAUUUUUCUGAGUGCAAUGAACCAACUCCCAAGUCUCUAGGACGUUCCUAAAAAAAUUUGAUUUUUUCCCAUAGGAAUGCAUGGGUUAGGGUUAGGGUUAGGGUUGGAGCUAGGGUUAGGGUUAGGGUUAGGGUUGGAGUUAGGGUUAGUGUUGGAGCUAGGGUUAGGGUUGGGCUUGGAGCUAGGAUUUUUCUGAGUGCAAUGAACCAACUCCCGAGUCUCUAGGACGUUCCUAAAAAAAUUUGAUUUUUUCCCAUAGGAAUGCAUGGGUUAGGGUUAGGGUUAGGGUUGGAGCUAGGGUUAGGGUUAGGGUUAGGGUUGGAGUUAGGGUUAGUGUUGGGGCUAGGGUUAGGGUUGGGCUUGGAGCUAGGAUUUUUCUGAGUGCAAUGACCAACUCCCGAGUCUCUAGGACGUUCCUAAAAAAAUUUGAUUUUUUCCCAUAGGAAUGCAUGGGUUAGGGUUAGGGUUGGGGUUGGAGCUAGGGUUGGAGUUAGGGUUAGUGUUGGAGCUAGGGUUAGGGUUGGGCUUGGAGCUAGGAUUUUUCUGAGUGCAAUGAACCAACUCCCGAGUCUCUAGGACGUUCCUAAAAAAAUUUGAUUUUUUCCCAUAGGAAUGCAUGGGUUAGGGUUUGGGUUAGGGUUGGAGCUAGGGUUAGGGUUAGGGUUAGGGUUGGAGUUAGGGUUAGGGUUAGGGUUGGAGCUAGGGUUAGUGUUGGAGCUAGGGUUAGGGUUGGGCUUGGAGCUAGGAUUUUUCUGAGUGCAAUGAACCAACUCCCGAGUCUCUAGGACGUUCCUAAAAAAAUUUGAUUUUUUCCCAUAGGAAUGCAUGGGUUAGGGUUAGGGUUAGGGUUGGAGCGAGGGUUAGGGUUAGGGUUAGGGUUAGGGUUGGAGUUAGGGUUAGUGUUGGAGCUAGGGUUAGGGUUGGGCUUGGAGCUAGGAUUUUUCUGAGUGCAAUGACCAACUCCCGAGUCUCUAGGACAUUCCUAAAAAAAUUUGAUUUUUUCCCAUAGGAAUGCAUGGGUUAGGGUUAGGGUUAGGGUUGGAGCUAGGGUUAGGGUUAGGGUUAGGGUUGGAGUUAGGGUUAGUGUUGGAGCUAGGGAUAGGGUUGGGCUUGGAGCUAGGAUUUUUCUGAGUGCAAUGAACCAACUCCCAAGUCUCUAGGACGUUCCUAAAAAAAUUUGAUUUUUUCCCAUAGGAAUGCAUGGGUUAGGGUUAGGGUUAGGGUUGGAGCUAGGGUUAGGGUUAGGGUUAGGGUUGGAGUUAGGGUUAGUGUUGGAGCUAGGGUUAGGGUUGGGCUUGGAGCUAGGAUUUUUCUGAGUGCAAUGAACCAACUCCCGAGUCUCUAGGACGUUCCUAAAAAAAUUUGAUUUUUUCCCAUAGGAAUGCAUGGGUUAGGGUGAGGGUUAGGGUUGGAGCUAGGGUUAGGGUUAGGGUUAGGGUUGGAGUUAGGGUUAGUGUUGGAGCUAGGGUUAGGGUUGGGCUUGGAGCUAGGAUUUUUCUGAGUGCAAUGAACCAACUCCCGAGUCUCUAGGACGUUCCUAAAAAAAUUUGAUUUUUUCCCAUAGGAAUGCAUGGGUUAGGGUUAGGGUUAGGGUUGGAGUUAGGGUUAGGGUUAGGGUUAGGGUUGGAGUUAGGGUUAGUGUUGGGGCUAGGGUUAGGGUUGGGCUUGGAGCUAGGAUUUUUCUGAGUGCAAUGAACCAACUCCCGAGUCUCUAGGACGUUCCUAAAAAAUUUUGAUUUUUUCCCAUAGGAAUGCAUGGGUUAGGGUUAGGGUAAGGGUUGGAGCUAGGGUUAGGGUUAGGGUUAGGGUUGGAGUUAGGGUUAGUGUUGGAGCUAGGGUUAGGGUUGGGCCUGGAGCUAGGAUUUUUCUGAGUGCAAUGAACCAACUCCCAAGUCUCUAGGACGUUCCUAAAAAAAUUUGAUUUUUUCCCAUAGGAAUGCAUGGGUUAGGGUUAGGGUUAGGGUUGGAGCUAGGGUUAGGGUUAGGGUUAGGGUUGGAGUUAGGGUUAGUGUUGGAGCUAGGGUUAGGGUUGGGCUUGGAGCUAGGAUUUUUCUGAGUGCAAUGAACCAACUCCCGAGUCUCUAGGACGUUCCUAAAAAAAUUUGAUUUUUUCCCAUAGGAAUGCAUGGGUUAGGGUUAGGGUUAGGGUUGGAGCUAGGGUUAGGGUUAGGGUUAGGGUUGGAGUUAGGGUUAGUGUUGGGGCUAGGGUUAGGGUUGGGCUUGGAGCUAGGAUUUUUCUGAGUGCAAUGACCAACUCCCGAGUCUCUAGGACGUUCCUAAAAAAAUUUGAUUUUUUCCCAUAGGAAUGCAUGGGUUAGGGUUAGGGUUGGGGUUGGAGCUAGGGUUGGAGUUAGGGUUAGUGUUGGAGCUAGGGUUAGGGUUGGGCUUGGAGCUAGGAUUUUUCUGAGUGCAAUGAACCAACUCCCGAGUCUCUAGGACGUUCCUAAAAAAAUUUGAUUUUUUCCCAUAGGAAUGCAUGGGUUAGGGUUUGGGUUAGGGUUGGAGCUAGGGUUAGGGUUAGGGUUAGGGUUGGAGUUAGGGUUAGGGUUAGGGUUGGAGCUAGGGUUAGUGUUGGAGCUAGGGUUAGGGUUGGGCUUGGAGCUAGGAUUUUUCUGAGUGCAAUGAACCAACUCCCGAGUCUCUAGGACGUUCCUAAAAAAAAUUGAUUUUUUCCCAUAGGAAUGCAUGGGUUAGGGUUAGGGUUAGGGUUGGAGCUAGGGUUAGGGUUAGGGUUAGGGUUAGGGUUGGAGUUAGGGUUAGGGUUGGGCUUGGAGCUAGGAUUUUUCUGAGUGCAAUGAACCAACUCCCGAGUCUCUAGGACGUUCCUAAAAAAAUUUGAUUUUUUCCCAUAGGAAUGCAUGGGUUAGGGUUAGGGUUAGGGUUGGAGCUAGGGUUAGGGUUAGGGUUAGGGUUGGAGUUAGGGUUAGUGUUGGAGCUAGGGUUAGGGUUGGGCUUGGAGCUAGGAUUUUUCUGAGUGCAAUGAACCAACUCCCAAGUCUCUAGGACGUUCCUAAAAAAAUUUGAUUUUUUCCCAUAGGAAUGCAUGGGUUAGGGUUAGGGUUAGGGUUAGGGUUGGAGUUAGGGUUAGUGUUGGAGCUAGGGUUAGGGUUGGGCUUGGAGCUAGGAUUUUUCUGAGUGCAAUGAACCAACUCCCGAGUCUCUAGGACGUUCCUAAAAAAAUUUGAUUUUUCCAUAGGAAUGCAUGGGUUAGGGUUAGGGUUAGGGUUGGAGCUAGGGUUAGGAUUAGGGUUAGGGUUGAAGUUAGGGUUAGUGUUGGAGCUAGGGUUAGGGUUGGGCUUGGAGCUAGGAUUUUUCUGAGUGCAAUGAACCAACUCCCGAGUCUCUAGGACGUUCCUAAAAAAAUUUGAUUUUUUCCCAUAGGAAUGCAUGGGUUAGGGUUAGGGUUAGGGUUGGAGCUAGGGUUAGGGUUAGGGUUAGGGUUGGAGUUAGGGUUAGUGUUGGAGCUAGGGUUAGGGUUGGGCUUGGAGCUAGGAUUUUUCUGAGUGCAAUGAACCAACUCCCGAGUCUCUAGGACGUUCCUAAAAAAAUUUGAUUUUUUCCCAUAGGAAUGCAUGGGUUAGGGUUAGGGUUAGGGUUGGAGCUAGGGUUAGGGUUAGGGUUAGGGUUGGAGUUAGGGUUAGUGUUGGAGCUAGGGUUAGGGUUGGGCUUGGAGCUAGGAUUUUUCUGAGUGCAAUGAACCAACUCCCGAGUCUCUAGGACGUUCCUAAAAAAAAAUUGAUUUUUUCCCAUAGGAAUGCAUGGGUUAGGGUUAGGGUUAGGGUUGGAGCUAGGGUUAGGGUUAGGGUUAGGGUUGGAGUUAGGGUUAGUGUUGGAGCUAGGGUUAGGGUUGGGCUUGGAGCUAGGAUUUUUCUGAGUGCAAUGAACCAACUCCCGAGUCUCUAGGACGUUCCUAAAAAAAUUUGAUUUUUUCCCAUAGGAAUGCAUGGGUUAGGGUUAGGGUUAGGGUUGGAGUUAGGGUUAGUGUUGGAGCUAGGGUUAGGGUGGGGCUUGGAGCUAGGAUUUUUCUGUGUGCAAUGAACCAACUCUAGGACGUUCCUAAAAAAUUUUGAUUUUUUCCCAUAGGAAUGCAUGGGUUAGGGUUAGGGUUAGGGUUGGAGCUAGGGUUAGUGUUGGAGCUAGGGUUAGGGUUGGGCUUGGAGCUAGGAUUUUUCUGAGUGCAAUGAACCAACUCCCGAGUCUCAAGGACGUUCCUAAAAAAAUUUGAUUUUUUCCCAUAGGAAUGCAUGGGUUAGGGUUAGGGUUAGGGUUGGAGCUAGGGUUAGGGUUAGGGUUAGGGUUGGAGUUAGGGUUAGGGUUGGGCUUGGAGCUAGGAUUUUUCUGAGUGCAAUGAACCAACUCCCGAGUCUCUAGGACGUUCCUAAAAAAAUUUGAUUUUUUCCCAUAGGAAUGCAUGGGUUAGGGUUAGGGUUAGGGUUGGAGCUAGGGUUAGGGUUAGGGUUAGGGUUGGAGUUAGGGUUAGUGUUGGAGCUAGGGUUAGGGUUGGGCUUGGAGCUAGGAUUUUUCUGAGUGCAAUGAACCAACUCCCAAGUCUCUAGGACGUUCCUAAAAAAAUUUGAUUUUUUCCCAUAGGAAUGCAUGGGUUAGGGUUAGGGUUAGGGUUAGGGUUGGAGUUAGGGUUAGUGUUGGAGCUAGGGUUAGGGUUGGGCUUGGAGCUAGGAUUUUUCUGAGUGCAAUGAACCAACUCCCGAGUCUCUAGGACGUUCCUAAAAAAAUUUGAUUUUUUCCCAUAGGAAUGCAUGGGUUAGGGUUAGGGUUAGGGUUGAAGCUAGGGUUAGGGUUAGGGUUAGGGUUAGGGUUGGAGUUAGGGUUAGUGUUGGAGCUAGGGUUAGGGUUGGGCUUGGAGCUAGGAUUUUUCUGAGUGCAAUGAACCAACUCCCGAGUCUCUAGGACGUUCCUAAAAAAAUUUGAUUUUUUCCCAUAGGAAUGCAUGGGUUAGGGUUAGGGUUAGGGUUGGAGCUAGGGUAAGGGGUUAGGGUUAGGGUUAGGGUUGGAGUUAGGGUUAGUGUUGGAGCUAGGGUUAGGGUUGGGCUUGGAGCUAGGAUUUUUCUGAGUGCAAUGAACCAACUCCCGAGUCUCUAGGACGUUCCUAAAAAAAUUUGAUUUUUUCCCAUAGGAAUGCAUGGGUUAGGGUUAGGGUAAGGGUUGGAGCUAGGGUUAGGGUUAGGGUUGGAGUUAGGGUUAGUGUUGGAGCUAGGGUUAGGGUUGGGCUUGGAGCUAGGAUUUUUCUGAGUGCAAUGAACCAACUCCCGAGUCUCUAGGACGUUCCUAAAAAAAUUUGAUUUUUUCCCAUAGGAAUGCAUGGGUUAGGGUGAGGGUUAGGGUUGGAGCUAGGGUUAGGGUUAGGGUUAGGGUUGGAGUUAGGGUUAGUGUUGGAGCUAGGGUUAGGGUUGGGCUUGGAGCUAGGAUUUUUCUGAGUGCAAUGAACCAACUCCCGAGUCUCUAGGACGUUCCUAAAAAAAUUUGAUUUUUUCCCAUAGGAAUGCAUGGGUUAGGGUUAGGGUUAGGGUUGGAGCUAGGGUUAGGGUUAGGGUUAGGGUUGGAGUUAGGGUUAGUGUUGGGGCUAGGGUUAGGGUUGGGCUUGGAGCUAGGAUUUUUCUGAGUGCAAUGAACCAACUCCCGAGUCUCUAGGACGUUCCUAAAAAAAUUUGAUUUUUUCCCAUAGGAAUGCAUGGGUUAGGGUUAGGGUAAGGGUUGGAGCUAGGGUUAGGGUUAGGGUUAGGGUUGGAGUUAGGGUUAGUGUUGGAGCUAGGGUUAGGGUUGGGCUUGGAGCUAGGAUUUUUCUGAGUGCAAUGAACCAACUCCCAAGUCUCUAGGACGUUCCUAAAAAAAUUUGAUUUUUUCCCAUAGGAAUGCAUGGGUUAGGGUUAGGGUUAGGGUUGGAGCUAGGGUUAGGGUUAGGGUUAGGGUUGGAGUUAGGGUUAGUGUUGGAGCUAGGGUUAGGGUUGGGCUUGGAGCUAGGAUUUUUCUGAGUGCAAUGAACCAACUCCCGAGUCUCUAGGACGUUCCUAAAAAAAUUGGAUUUUUUCCCAUAGGAAUGCAUGGGUUAGGGUUAGGGUUAGGGUUGGAGCUAGGGUUAGGGUUAGGGUUAGGGUUGGAGUUAGGGUUAGUGUUGGGGCUAGGGUUAGGGUUGGGCUUGGAGCUAGGAUUUUUCUGAGUGCAAUGACCAACUCCCGAGUCUCUAGGACGUUCCUAAAAAAAUUUGAUUUUUUCCCAUAGGAAUGCAUGGGUUAGGGUUAGGGUUGGAGCGAGGGUUAGGGUUAGGGUUAGGGUUAGGGUUGGAGUUAGGGUUAGUGUUGGAGCUAGGGUUAGGGUUGGGCUUGGAGCUAGAAUUUUUCUGAGUGCAAUGACCAACUCCCCAGUCUCUAGGACAUUCCUAAAAAAAUUUGAUUUUUUCCCAUAGGAAUGCAUGGGUUAGGGUUAGGGUUUGGGUUUGAGCUAGGGUUAGGGUUAGGGUUAGGGUUGGAGUUAGGGUUAGUGUUGGAGCUAGGGUUAGGGUUGGGCUUGGAGCUAGGAUUUUUCUGAGUGCAAUGAACCAACUCCCAAGUCUCUAGGACGUUCCUAAAAAAUUUGAUUUUUUCCCAUAGGAAUGCAUGGGUUAGGGUUAGGGUUAGGGUUGGAGCUAGGGUUAGGGUUAGCGUUAGGGUUGGAGUUAGGGUUAGUGUUGGAGCUAGGGUUAGGGUUGGGCUUGGAGCUAGGAUUUUUCUGAGUGCAAUGAACCAACUCCCGAGUCUCUAGGACGUUCCUAAAAUAAUUUGAUUUUUUCCCAUAGGAAUGCAUGGGUUAGGGUUAGGGUUAGGGUUGGAGCUAGGGUUAGGGUUAGGGUUAGAGUUAGGGUUGGAGUUAGGGUUAGUGUUGGGGCUAGGGUUAGGGUUGGGCUUGGAGCUAGGAUUUUUCUGAGUGCAAUGACCAACUCCCGAGUCUCUAGGACGUUCCUAAAAAAAUUGGAUUUUUUCCCAUAGGAAUGCAUGGGUUAGGGUUAGGGUUAGGGUUGGAGCGAGGGUUAGGGUUAGGGUUAGGGUUAGGGUUGGAGUUAGGGUUAGUGUUGGAGCUAGGGUUAGGGUUGGGCUUGGAGCUAGGAUUUUUCUGAGUGCAAUGACCAACUCCCCAGUCUCUAGGACAUUCCUAAAAAAAUUUGAUUUUUUCCCAUAGGAAUGCAUGGGUUAGGGUUAGGGUUAGGGUUGGAGCUAGGGUUAGGGUUAGGGUUAGGGUUGGAGUUAGGGUUAGUGUUGGAGCUAGGGUUAGGGUUGGGCUUGGAGCUAGGAUUUUUCUGAGUGCAAUGAACCAACUCCCAAGUCUCUAGGACGUUCCUAAAAAAAUUUGAUUUUUUCCCAUAGGAAUGCAUGGGUUAGGGUUAGGGUUAGGGUUGGAGCUAGGGUUAGGGUUAGGGUUAGGGUUGGAGUUAGGGUUAGUGUUGGAGCUAGGGUUAGGGUUGGGCUUGGAGCUAGGAUUUUUCUGAGUGCAAUGAACCAACUCCCGAGUCUCUAGGACGUUCCUAAAAAAAUUUGAUUUUUUCCCAUAGGAAUGCAUGGGUUAGGGUGAGGGUUAGGGUUGGAGCUAGGGUUAGGGUUAGGGUUAGGGUUGGAGUUAGGGUUAGUGUUGGAGCUAGGGUUAGGGUUGGGCUUGGAGCUAGGAUUUUUCUGAGUGCAAUGAACCAACUCCCGAGUCUCUAGGACGUUCCUAAAAAAAUUUGAUUUUUUCCCAUAGGAAUGCAUGGGUUAGGGUUAGGGUUAGGGUUGGAGCUAGGGUUAGGGUUAGGGUUAGGGUUGGAGUUAGGGUUAGUGUUGGGGCUAGGGUUAGGGUUGGGCUUGGAGCUAGGAUUUUUCUGAGUGCAAUGAACCAACUCCCGAGUCUCUAGGACGUUCCUAAAAAAAUUUGAUUUUUUCCCAUAGGAAUGCAUGGGUUAGGGUUAGGGUAAGGGUUGGAGCUAGGGUUAGGGUUAGGGUUAGGGUUGGAGUUAGGGUUAGUGUUGGAGCUAGGGUUAGGGUUGGGCUUGGAGCUAGGAUUUUUCUGAGUGCAAUGAACCAACUCCCGAGUCUCUAGGACGUUCCUAAAAAAAUUUGAUUUUUUCCCAUAGGAAUGCAUGGGUUAGGGUUAGGGAUAGGGUUGGAGCUAGGGUUAGGGUUAGGGUUAGGGUUGGAGUUAGGGUUAGUGUUGGAGCUAGGGUUAGGGUUGGGCUUGGAGCUAGGAUUUUUCUGAGUGCAAUGAACCAACUCCCGAGUCUCUAGGACGUUCCUAAAAAAAUUUGAUUUUUUCCCAUAGGAAUGCAUGGGUUAGGGUUAGGGUAAGGGUUGGAGCUAGGGUUAGGGUUAGGGUUAGGGUUGGAGUUAGGGUUAGUGUUGGGGCUAGGGUUAGGGUUGGGCUUGGAGCUAGGAUUUUUCUGAGUGCAAUGACCAACUCCCGAGUCUCUAGGACGUUCCUAAAAAAAUUUGAUUUUUUCCCAUAGGAAUGCAUGGGUUAGGGUUAGGGUUAGGGUUGGAGCGAGGGUUAGGGUUAGGGUUAGGGUUAGGGUUGGAGUUAGGGUUAGUGUUGGAGCUAGGGUUAGGGUUGGGCUUGGAGCUAGGAUUUUUCUGAGUGCAAUGACCAACUCCCCAGUCUCUAGGACGUUCCUAAAAAAAUUUGAUUUUUUCCCAUAGGAAUGCAUGGGUUAGGGUUAGGGUUAGGGUUGGAGCGAGGGUUAGGGUUAGGGUUAGGGUUAGGGUUGGAGUUAGGGUUAGUGUUGGAGCUAGGGUUAGGGUUGGGCUUGGAGCUAGGAUUUUUCUGAGUGCAAUGAACCAACUCCCGAGUCUCUAGGACAUUCCUAAAAAAAUUUGAUUUUUUCCCAUAGGAAUGCAUGGGUUAGGGUUAGGGUUAGGGUUGGAUCUAGGGUUAGGGUUAGGGUUAGGGUUGGAGUUAGGGUUAGUGUUGGAGCUAGGGUUAGGGUUGGGCUUGGAGCUAGGAUUUUUCUGAGUGCAAUGAACCAACUCCCAAGUCUCUAGGACGUUCCUAAAAAAAUUUGAUUUUUUCCCAUAGGAAUGCAUGGGUUAGGGUUAGGGUUAGGGUUGGAGCUAGGGUUAGGGUUAGGGUUAGGGUUGGAGUUAGGGUUAGUGUUGGAGCUAGGGUUAGGGUUGGGCUUGGAGCUAGGAUUUUUCUGAGUGCAAUGAACCAACUCCCGAGUCUCUAGGACGUUCCUAAAAAAAUUUGAUUUUUUCCCAUAGGAAUGCAUGGGUUAGGGUUUGGGUUAGGGUUGGAGCUAGGGUUAGGGUUAGGGUUAGGGUUGGAGUUAGGGUUAGGGUUAGGGUUGGAGCUAGGGUUAGUGUUGGAGCUAGGGUUAGGGUUGGGCUUGGAGCUAGGAUUUUUCUGAGUGCAAUGAACCAACUCCCGAGUCUCUAGGACGUUCCUAAAAAAAUUUGAUUUUUUCCCAUAGGAAUGCAUGGGUUAGGGUUAAGGUUAGGGUUGGAGCUAGGGUUAGGGUUGGAGCUAGGGUUAGUGUUGGAGCUAGGGUUAGGGUUGGGCUUGGAGCUAGGAUUUUUCUGAGUGCAAUGAACCAACUCCCGAGUCUCUAGGACGUUCCUAAAAAAUUUGAUUUUUUCCCAUAGGAAUGCAUGGGUUAGGGUUAGGGUUAGGGUUGGAGCUAGGGUUAGGGUUAGGGUUAGGGUUGGAGUUAGGGUUAGUGUUGGAGCUAGGGUUAGGGUUGGGCUUGGAGCUAGGAUUUUUCUGAGUGCAAUGAACCAACUCCCGAGUCCCUAGGACGUUCCUAAAAAAAAUUGAUUUUUUUCCCAUAGGAAUGCAUGGGUUAGGGUUAGGGUUAGGGUUGGAGCUAGGGUUAGGGUUAGGGUUAGGGUUGGAGUUAGAGUUAGUGUUGGAGCUAGGGUUAGGGUUGGGCUUGGAGCUAGGAUUUUUCUGAGUGCAAUGAACCAACUCCCGAGUCUCUAGGACGUUCCUAAAAAAAUUUGAUUUUUUUCUCAUAGGAAUGCAUGGGUUAGGGUUAGGGUUAGGGUUGGAGCUAGGGUUAGGGUUAGGGUUAGGGUUGGAGUUAGGGUUAGUGUUGGAGCUAGGGUUAGGGAUGGGCUUGGAGCUAGGAUUUUUCUGAGUGCAAUGAACCAACUCCCGAGUCUCUAGGACGUUCCUAAAAAAAUUUGAUUUUUUUCCAUAGGAAUG